UACGGGGGGGGCAAGCGUUGUUCGGAAUUACUGGGCGUAAAGGGCUCGUAGGCGGCCAACUAAGUCGGACGUGGAAUCCCUCGGCUUAACCGGGGAACUGCGUCCGAUACUGGAUGGCUUGAGUUUGGGAGAGGGAUGCGGAAUUCCAGGUGUAGCGGUGAAAUGCGUAGAUAUCUGGAGGAACACCGGUGGCGAAGGCGGCAUCCUGGACCAACACUGACGCUGAUGAGCGAAAGCCAGGGGAGCAAACGGG
RNAcentral lists this ribosomal RNA (253 nucleotides) under uncultured bacterium. RNAcentral's name for it is "partial 16S ribosomal RNA". It matches the Rfam family "Bacterial small subunit ribosomal RNA", at positions 524 to 776 of the family's 1533-position model. The record is from RNAcentral.